This 2929-nucleotide ribosomal RNA is filed under the name Enterobacter cloacae. RNAcentral describes it as "bacterial LSU rRNA". It matches the Rfam family "Bacterial large subunit ribosomal RNA". Lineage: Bacteria; Pseudomonadati; Pseudomonadota; Gammaproteobacteria; Enterobacterales; Enterobacteriaceae. The record is from RNAcentral.
GGGUUGUGAGGUUAAGCGACUAAGCGUACACGGUGGAUGCCCUGGCAGUCAGAGGCGAUGAAGGACGUGCUAAUCUGCGAAAAGCGCCGGCGAGGUGAUAUGAACCUUUGACCCGGCGAUGUCCGAAUGGGGAAACCCAGUGCAAUUCGUUGCACUAUCGUUAACUGAAUACAUAGGUUAACGAGGCGAACCGGGGGAACUGAAACAUCUAAGUACCCGAGGAAAAGAAAUCAACCGAGAUUCCCCCAGUAGCGGCGAGCGAACGGGGAGCAGCCCAGAGUCUGAAUCAGCUUGUGUGUUAGUGGAAGCGUCUGGAAAGUCGCACGGUACAGGGUGACAGUCCCGUACACGAAAGCACACAGGUUGUGAACUCGAAGAGUAGGGCGGGACACGUGGUAUCCUGUCUGAAUAUGGGGGACCAUCCUCCAAGGCUAAAUACUCCUGACUGACCGAUAGUGAACCAGUACCGUGAGGGAAAGGCGAAAAGAACCCCGGCGAGGGGAGUGAAAAAGAACCUGAAACCGUGUACGUACAAGCAGUGGGAGCACCUUCGUGGUGUGACUGCGUACCUUUUGUAUAAUGGGUCAGCGACUUAUAUUCUGUAGCAAGGUUAACCGUAUAGGGGAGCCGAAGGGAAACCGAGUCUUAACUGGGCGUUAAGUUGCAGGGUAUAGACCCGAAACCCGGUGAUCUAGCCAUGGGCAGGUUGAAGGUUGGGUAACACUAACUGGAGGACCGAACCGACUAAUGUUGAAAAAUUAGCGGAUGACUUGUGGCUGGGGGUGAAAGGCCAAUCAAACCGGGAGAUAGCUGGUUCUCCCCGAAAGCUAUUUAGGUAGCGCCUCGUGAAUUCAUCUUCGGGGGUAGAGCACUGUUUCGGCUAGGGGGCCAUCCCGGCUUACCAACCCGAUGCAAACUACGAAUACCGAAGAAUGUUAUCACGGGAGACACACGGCGGGUGCUAACGUCCGUCGUGAAGAGGGAAACAACCCAGACCGCCAGCUAAGGUCCCAAAGUCAUGGUUAAGUGGGAAACGAUGUGGGAAGGCACAGACAGCCAGGAUGUUGGCUUAGAAGCAGCCAUCAUUUAAAGAAAGCGUAAUAGCUCACUGGUCGAGUCGGCCUGCGCGGAAGAUGUAACGGGGCUAAACCAUGCACCGAAGCUGCGGCAGCGACGCGUAUGCGUUGUUGGGUAGGGGAGCGUUCUGUAAGCCGUUGAAGGUGUCCUGUGAGGGGUGCUGGAGGUAUCAGAAGUGCGAAUGCUGACAUAAGUAACGAUAAAGCGGGUGAAAAGCCCGCUCGCCGGAAGACCAAGGGUUCCUGUCCAACGUUAAUCGGGGCAGGGUGAGUCGACCCCUAAGGCGAGGCCGAAAGGCGUAGUCGAUGGGAAACAGGUUAAUAUUCCUGUACUUGGUGUUACUGCGAAGGGGGGACGGAGAAGGCUAUGUUAGCCGGGCGACGGUUGUCCCGGUUUAAGCAUGUAGGCGGAGGUUCCAGGUAAAUCCGGUACCUUUUAACGCUGAGGUGUGAUGACGAGGCACUACGGUGCUGAAGUAACAAAUGCCCUGCUUCCAGGAAAAGCCUCUAAGCAUCAGGUAACAUCAAAUCGUACCCCAAACCGACACAGGUGGUCAGGUAGAGAAUACCAAGGCGCUUGAGAGAACUCGGGUGAAGGAACUAGGCAAAAUGGUGCCGUAACUUCGGGAGAAGGCACGCUGAUAUGUAGGUGAAGCCCCUGCGGGUGGAGCUGAAAUCAGUCGAAGAUACCAGCUGGCUGCAACUGUUUAUUAAAAACACAGCACUGUGCAAACACGAAAGUGGACGUAUACGGUGUGACGCCUGCCCGGUGCCGGAAGGUUAAUUGAUGGGGUUAGCGGCAACGCGAAGCUCUUGAUCGAAGCCCCGGUAAACGGCGGCCGUAACUAUAACGGUCCUAAGGUAGCGAAAUUCCUUGUCGGGUAAGUUCCGACCUGCACGAAUGGCGUAAUGAUGGCCAGGCUGUCUCCACCCGAGACUCAGUGAAAUUGAACUCGCUGUGAAGAUGCAGUGUACCCGCGGCAAGACGGAAAGACCCCGUGAACCUUUACUAUAGCUUGACACUGAACACUGGUCCUUGAUGUGUAGGAUAGGUGGGAGGCUUUGAAGCGUGGACGCCAGUCUGCGUGGAGCCGUCCUUGAAAUACCACCCUUUAAUGGCUGGUGUUCUAACGUAGACCCGUGAUCCGGGUUGCGGACAGUGUCUGGUGGGUAGUUUGACUGGGGCGGUCUCCUCCCAAAGAGUAACGGAGGAGCACGAAGGUUAGCUAAUCCUGGUCGGACAUCAGGAGGUUAGUGCAAUGGCAUAAGCUAGCUUGACUGCGAGAGUGACGGCUCGAGCAGGUGCGAAAGCAGGUCAUAGUGAUCCGGUGGUUCUGAAUGGAAGGGCCAUCGCUCAACGGAUAAAAGGUACUCCGGGGAUAACAGGCUGAUACCGCCCAAGAGUUCAUAUCGACGGCGGUGUUUGGCACCUCGAUGUCGGCUCAUCACAUCCUGGGGCUGAAGUAGGUCCCAAGGGUAUGGCUGUUCGCCAUUUAAAGUGGUACGCGAGCUGGGUUUAGAACGUCGUGAGACAGUUCGGUCCCUAUCUGCCGUGGGCGCUGGAGAAUUGAGGGGGGCUGCUCCUAGUACGAGAGGACCGGAGUGGACGCAUCACUGGUGUUCGGGUUGUCAUGCCAAUGGCACUGCCCGGUAGCUAAAUGCGGAAAAGAUAAGUGCUGAAAGCAUCUAAGCACGAAACUUGCCCCGAGAUGAGUUCUCCCUGACCCUUUAAGGGUCCUGAAGGAACGUUGAAGACGACGACGUUGAUAGGUCGGGUGUGUAAGCGCAGCGAUGCGUUGAGCUAACCGAUACUAAUGAACCGUGAGGCUUAACCUUACAACGCCGAAGCUGUU